Molecule: ribosomal RNA, 465 nt
Filed under: uncultured bacterium
Lineage: Bacteria
Description: partial 16S ribosomal RNA
Rfam family: Bacterial small subunit ribosomal RNA
Source: RNAcentral
AAUGAACGUUGGCGGCGUGGAUUAGGCAUGCAAGUCGAGCGAGAACCCCGCAAGGGGGGACAGCGGCGAAAGGGACAGUAAUGUGUAGAUUAUCUGCCCUCAGGUCCGGGAUAGCUGCGGGAAACUGCAGGUAAUACCGGAUAACAUCUCCGGAUCAAAGGUGUGAUUCCGCCUGAGGAUGAGUCUGCAUCCUAUUAGCUAGUUGGUGGGGUAAUGGCCUACCAAGGCAUUGAUGGGUAGCAGGUGUGAGAGCACGACCUGCGUCAUUGGGACUGAGACACUGCCCAGACACCUACGGGUGGCUGCAGUCGAGAAUCUUCGGCAAUGGGCGCAAGCCUGACCGAGCGACGCCGCGUGUGGGAUGAAGGCCUUCGGGUUGUAAACCACUGUCAGAGGGGAUGAAAUGCAGGUGGGUUCUCCCAUCUGUUUGACAUAGCCUCAGAGGAAGGACGGGCUAAGUUCGUU